GGCUCAGGAUGAACGCUGGCGGCGUGCCUAAUACAUGCAAGUCGAGCGAUGAGGCUCCUUCGGGAGUACAUCAGCGGCGAACGGGUGAGUAACACGUAGGUGACUUGCCCCGAAGAUGGGGAUAACCUCUGGAAACGGGGGCUAAUACCCAAUGUGCUCGGUGAUUCGGUUGAUCGAGUAAAGCUCCGGCGCUUCGGGAGAGGCCUGCGGCCCAUCAGCUAGUUGGUAGGGUAACGGCCUACCAAGGCAGAGACGGGUAGGGGGCGUGAGAGCGCGGACCCCCACACUGGCACUGCGACACGGGCCAGACUCCUACGGGAGGCAGCAGUAAGGAAUAUUGCGCAAUGGACGAAAGUCAGACGCAGCGACGCCGCGUGGGCGAUGAAGGCCUUCGGGUUGUAAAGCCCUUUUAUGGGGGAAGAGAAAAAGGACGGUACCCCAUGAAUAAGUCCCGGCUGACUACGUGCCAGCAGCCGCGGUAAAACGUAGGGGACAAGCGUUAUCCGGAUUCACUGGGCGUAAAGAGCGUUGAGGCGGUUCCGUAAGUUGGGCGUGAAAGCUCCGGGCUUAACCCGGAGAUGUCGUUCAAUACUGCGGGGCUUGAGGACAGCAGAGGAAGGUGGAAUUCCCGGUGUAGUGGUGAAAUGCGUAGAUAUCGGGAGGAACACCCGUGGCGAAGGCGGCCUUCUGGGCUGUUCCUGACGCUGAAGGCGAAAAGCUAGGGGAGCGAACGGGAUUAGAUACCCCGGGUAGUCCUAGCUGUAAACGA
This 769-nucleotide ribosomal RNA is filed under the name uncultured organism. RNAcentral describes it as "bacterial SSU rRNA". It matches the Rfam family "Bacterial small subunit ribosomal RNA", at positions 21 to 809 of the family's 1533-position model. The record is from RNAcentral.